Non-coding RNA from Vicia faba (fava bean), 255 nucleotides. NCBI's taxonomy places the organism in Eukaryota, Viridiplantae, Streptophyta, Magnoliopsida, Fabales, Fabaceae. The record is from the annotation of a GenBank genome assembly.
AUGAGUGGUGUUUUCUCCGGGCAACGUGUUGUGGUUUUUGAUUCUGAUCAAGUAUCUGAUUUUGAACAUGACAAAAAAGAAGGAGUUUUUCAUAUUGAUGUGAAAUUAUACUUUACGAUGAGGUUUAGGCUUGGUGAUUUUAUUUUUGGAGAUAAUAACAGUAACGUUAAAUGUGGGAUUGAUGUUCCUUUUGGUUCUAAUGGGACUAAGCUAAUUAAUGCAUUUGAACCUACCACAUGUGAUGUUAAUUUUUAA